Cairina moschata (Muscovy duck) is the source of this 3947-nucleotide long non-coding RNA. The record is from Ensembl. Lineage: Eukaryota; Metazoa; Chordata; Aves; Anseriformes; Anatidae.
CCAAUAUUGGUUGCUGACACUACCCAGGCCUAACCUGCCGAGUUAUGUGGGCUUUUAGCACUUAAAGGCAAAAUACUUAAAGCUUAUUACUGAAUAUAUCUUAUCCCCCUUCCUUCUCAGUUUUUCAUCUUUCUGAGCAGCACAGUGUAGUGGUAAUCUUCAGGAGUCAGGAAAAAAUCUGCAAAGAUAACUUUAUCAACGAAAAAUGUCUUUGGAAUUACAUCCUUAACUGAAACUUUCUUUGAAAACCAGGGUGUCUCCAGAGAGUUAUGCAGAGCAGUCUGGUUAAGCUGUGUCUCCUGCAUGGUUUUAAGGAAGAACGCUGGAGUCAGCAACUCAGAAACUGGGACCCAAGGAUCUGAUGUCGCCUCUCUUGAAAACUGUGUGCUAUCAGACUUGUGCAUUUUCACAGAUAAACCUGCCAGGUGAUGCAUACAAUGACCGCACUGAAAAUAGGCACAGAAUAGCAGAGCUUGAGUUGUCCCAAAUGUUGUCCCACAAAAGUCAAGACAGGCACAGAGGCUUAUCAGCAAAAGCACAUCAGAACUGUAUGAAGAGAGAAGUAUGCAUCAAAUGAAUGCUGUUUUUCAAGGUACAUACUUGAAUUCUUGACAAGACACAUAGUUACUUAUUUCUCCUCCAGUUGUUGGCUUUGAUUAUUAAACUUUGAUUCUGAGAAAAAAGAGAAGAUUUUGUCAGCAUCCCUGACAAGCUGUAACUUUACAGUUGGUGAGUUCAGCUGCCAGCUAGUUGUCAUCUUUUAUUUCUGAAGAUUGCAGUUCUUUAAUGAGGAAAUGUCUGGUUACCAUAGAGAAGUUUUAGGUGAGGAGAGAGAAAAAGGGUUCAUAGUUUAUUUUUUUCUCUCCAUUUCUUUCCUAACUGUCUACAAAUAUGUACUGGAGAAAAAAAGAAAAGAAAAAUAAAAAAAAGAAUGGCCAAAAUGGGUCGUGAGGGCACAAUAGCAAUAGUGUUGUGAAUCUCCUUUAAGGCUGUUAAAAGUUUACAAGAUGUGGGAGUUUUUUUAAAAUCAGAAAGCAUUGAGACUAAAGAAUGGGAGGUCUUCUCGUAAACAAAAGAAGUCCUUCUGCAUUUUAUGACAGAUGAAUUGAAAAGUGACCAGACAGGAACUGCAAGCAAGUAGUGCCAAAAGGUUUCCUAAACAAGAAAUUUACUGAGUAAUACCAAAUGGUAUAAAAAGUGCUACACAAACUCAGUAGAAAGCCUUUGGAUGACUAUAGUAAUAAUAUGUUUGGCUACAGAUGCAGCAUUUCAGCAUUUCUUCAAGUUAACUGUGUUGCACAGUUAACUGGAGCUUUAUGAUCACUGAAAAAAAUCUCCAAUUUAGUAUUGAAUAACUAGUAUGCUUUGCCUAUUCUACUACAAGACUAUAUUUGAAACAAGACAUUGCAGUUUCAAGGUGAUGCAGUUUCAGUGGGAUUUAAGAAUGUAAAGCCAGACAUGGGCAAAAUCAUCACUUGUUUCAGUAAUGCUUUGCCUUUAACUGAAACCCAUAGAUAAAAAUCUGUGUACUUAAGGACCAUAGGCAUUAUCUCUUUCUUUGUUCAUUGUUUAGAAAAUUAAAAUUAGCACUUUGGCUUAAACAGUGCCUCAGGGUCUGUACUCCACUUGUGUUUCCUCAACUGAUACUGUAACCACGUGUUGUUAGGAAGAAUAUUAAGAUGAAAAUUCCCAUUGCACCCAAGAUAAGUCAGGGGUGAAGUCAUGUUUGUCUCCUUUGUUGUGUUUUUGAUAAUAAAAUGUUAGUGUAUUAUUGUAUGUUAUACUUUUUGUUCUUAUAUAUAUUUUUUUUCUUUAAGAUGCUUUUAAAACUUGUGGAUGAAUCAAAUUUUUGUUUGCUUCUUUUGUAUAUAGAUUAUGCUGCUUUUUUACCACCUUGAUGCACUAAUUCAAAAACAGAUGUUGAAAAUGUAUGGAAAACUAAUGCCUGAAGUCCAUGUAUGGUUUUGGGGCCCUGUUUCAGUUUCAUAUGUACUGGCAAGUAUUUGAGCUUUCAUUUUAAAAUGCUGUGUUGUUUUUUUCUUUAUUUCACACUGUAAAAAAUGUAUUCAAACACAAACUAUCUGGACUUCCGAGUGUUUUAGUUUUAUUACCAUUAUCAAAAGACAUUGGAAUCAUUGUCUGGUUUAACUGCUACAGAAAGCAAUUUUCACUAGGUGUAACAAUUGUAAAUAGGAGAUAGAGUUUACUAUGGACAAGGCAAUACCACUGUGAUACAAAAGUAAUUCUAAUCUGAUAAGAGAUUUAACGGGGGAAAAAAGCACUUCAAGAUUUGAUUACCCCAUCACUUUGAACAUAACAGACAAGACAAUCAAAAGAUUUUCUGUUAACAUUGUUCAAAAAGGGUUUAUUUAAGCAUGUGUGUUGAAUCAAAGUCAGAGAGACUUGACUAUUCACGGACAAUUAUUUCCUAAACAAAGAGAAACAACAACUGCACUAACAACUUAUUUUGCUACUAUAUGUUCUAGAUAACUGCUUACUAAUUAGUAAUGAUGAGAAAAGAUAACGCAUGCAGAUAAAUGUCUGUGACUUCUAUUGUAUUGUUUUUAAGUGAAUUAGAGACCCAAAUAAAACUGAAUAAUCCCUAUUUGCAUAGAAUUGUGUAAAUAUUUCCUGUGGAAACCUGAAACCACAUGAAACUCAGGUAGUUUGACUUUGAAAGAAACCAGUUCUGUGUAUACAAACACAAAGGCUGGAUUAGAGAGUACACCACUAAACUUGCAGAUGUCUUAUCUGUUAAGUGCAGGAGUCUCCCAAGCCUGCAUUGUGAUUUAUUUUCAAGGAUUUCAAGAAACUGGUGAUCCUUGUUUGCAAAAGUUCCAGAUAAAUGGAAUGCAACACUUUUUUUUUUUUUUUAUAGUAUGUUGAGGUUCUAGCAAAUCUCAGUAUUAAGAAAAACUGCAAGGUUGAGAAAUCAAAUGAAUCAAAACUGACAUUUGGGUUUCUGAUGGGUAACACUGGGAAAAGACAAACUUAAAAUUUAUAGUUUCAGCACUGAGAUUGUCAUCGAUGGAUACUUAUUUGUUCUUAUGUGGUCUUUAUAUAAAAUAUGUUUAGUAAAAGCUUUCCUCUUGAUACAAGCCUCCCCAAAGAGAUGCAGAUACCUGUAAAUGGGUAUUUGUAAAAGGGAUAGUUCUCUGCUCUCGGACUUUGAACCCAAAGAGUACUGCACUGAUUCCUGUUGCAUGUUUUUUUUAAUAGAAUCAUAGAAUAACCUGUACUGGAACGGACCCAUGAGGAUCAUCGAGUCCAACUCCUGGCUCCACACAGGUGUACCCUAAAAUUCAGACCGCAUGACUGAGAGCAUAGUCCAAAUGCUUCUUAAACUCUGACAGGCUUGGUGCCGUGACUACGUCCCUGGGGAGCCUAUUCCAGUGCUCUUAAAAGCAACGUGGUCAAACAGAUUUGGCUGUUUAUCAGCUCCAAACUGCAAUUUGAUAAAAUCCCCAUCUCCUUUGUUCAUCUGGAUUCAGGGAGUUUGCUUUACACCUUCAUUUUAGGCAGUACCAUGUCAUGGAGCUUUUGCUAUCCUUUUCCUAGCCCUUAGACCAGAGGUAUUUUGAUAACAGGUCUUAUCUGGUGCAUAGGAUGCUUGGAGGUUGUAGCUGAGUGGCUAUUAUGUUAAGCGUUUGACUAUUUUUUAGCUUGAUUAGUUGCCAAAGACACCAAGCGGCAUUUCAGCCCGUCGAUCUGGACAGACGACACUGCAGCCUUUUCUCCCUUUCCCCACAGCCUUCCCCGGGCCUGCAGCCUCGGCUGAAAACAGCCCCGCUGAAACCCCCGGGUGGCUCUGGGGGGACCUCGAGCGGCCGGGGCCGGCUCCGACACCCGGGCCCCGCCUGAGGGGAGGUGCGGGGCGAGGUGAGGCGGGCCCGGCCCCGGCCCCGGCCCCGGCCCCGCCGCCUCCCGUGGCGCCGCCUUGGCCCUCG